RNAcentral lists this ribosomal RNA (497 nucleotides) under uncultured bacterium. RNAcentral describes it as "partial 16S ribosomal RNA". It matches the Rfam family "Bacterial small subunit ribosomal RNA", at positions 28 to 507 of the family's 1533-position model. The record is from RNAcentral.
GAUGAACGCUGGCGGCGUGCCUAAUACAUGCAAGUCGAGCGAACAGACGAGGCGCUUGCUCCUCUGACGUUAGCGGCGCACGGGUGAGUAACACGUGGAUAACCUACCUAUCAGACUGGUAUAACUUCGGGAAACCGGCGCUAAUCCCGUAUAAUAUCUUGCUCCGUAUGGUUCAAUGGUGAGAUACGGCUUUUCUGUCUCUUCUAGCUGCUUCCGCGCCGCAUUAGCUAGUUGGUAAGGUAACGGCUUACCAAGGCAACGAUGCGUAGCCGAGCGGAGAGGGUGAUCGGCCACACUGGAACUGAGACACGGUCCAGACUCCUAAGGGAGGCAGCAGUAGGGAAUCUGACGCAAUGGGCGAAAGCUUGACGGAGCAACGCCGCGUGAGUGAUGAAGGUCUUCGGAUCGUAAAACUCUGUUAUUAGGGAAGAACAAAUGUGUAAGUAACUAUGCAGGUCUUGACGGUACCUAAUCAGAAAGCCACGGCUAACUACGUG